CAACAAACAUGAAAAAAACUCAUCGUCACUGAUCAUUAGAGAAAUGCAAAUCAAAACCACAAUGAGAUAUCAUCUCACACCAGUUAGAAUGGUGAUCAUUAAAAAGUCAGGAAACAACAGAUGCUGGAGAGGAUGUAGAGAAAUAGGAAUAGUUUUACACUGUUGGUGGGAGUGCAAAUUAGUUCAACCAUUGUGGAAGACAGUGUGGCGAUUCCUCAAGGAUCUAGAACUAGAAAUACCAUUUGACCCAGCCAUCCCAUUACUGGGUAUAUACCCAAAGGAUUAUAAAUCAUUCUACUGUAAAGACACAUGCACACGUAUGUUUAUUUAUUAUUUUUGAGACGGAGUCUUGCUCUGUUGCCAGGCUGGAGUGCAGUGGCACGGUCUCGGCUCACUGCAACCUCCACCUCCCGGGUUCAAGCGAUUCUCUUGCCUCAGCCUCCUGAGUAGCUGGAACUACAGGCACACACCACCACGCCCAGCUAAUUUUUUGCAUUUUACUAGAGAAGGGGUUUCACCAUGUUGGCCAGAAUGGUCUUGAUCUCCUGACCUCGUGAUCCACCCGCCUCAGCCUCCCAAAGUGCUGGGAUUACAGGUUUGAGCCACCGCGCCCAGCCCCGAGCACAUGUAUGUUUAUUGCGGCACUAUUCACAAUAGCAAAGACUUGGAACCAACCCAAAUGCCCAUCAAUGACAGACUGGUUAAAGAAAAUGUGGCACAUAGACACCAUGGAAUACUAUGCAGCCAUAAAAAAGGAUGAGUUCAUGUCCUUUGCAGGAUCAUGGAUGACACUGGAAACCAUCAUUCUCAGCAAACUAACACAGGAACAGAAAACCAAACACUGCAUGUUCUCACUCAUAAGUGGAAGUUGAACAAUGAGAACAUAUGGACACAGGGAGGGGAACAUCACACACCGGUGCCUGUUGGGAGGUUGGGGGCAAGGGGAGGGAUAGCAUUAGGAGAAAUACCCAAUGUAGAUGACAGGUUGAUGGGUGCAGCAAACCACCAUGGCACAUAUAUACCUAUGUAACAACGCUGCACGUUCUGCACAUGUAUCCCAGAACUUAAAGUAUAAUAAUAAUAAUAAUAAAGGAAUUGAGAGACUGUUGAUAUCAACUGUUCCCUGAGCCACAUGGAAAGCUGUAUCCUCUGCAGGCUGCUUGGUGAGUAUGUGAGGAGGUAUAUUCAUUCACUUUGAGACCUAUUUCUCUAAGAAAGGGUCCUGAAAGGCUUUCCCCUGCUACAGGGACAGCCCUUGGCAAGGAAGCCACUGUCCUCAGGCACACAGGGCUCCUUCAUCUCCUGCAACAGAUACAGCCCUUGGCAAGGAAGCCACUGUCCUUGAGCACAUAGACAGGGCUCCUUCAUCUCCUGCAACAGGGACAGCCCUUGGCAAGGAAGCCACUGCCCUUGAGCACAUAGACAGGGCUCCUUCAUCUCCUGCAACAGGGACAGCCCUUGGCAAGGAAGCCACUGUCCUUGAGCACAUAGACAGGGCUCCUUCAUCUCCUGCAACAGGGACAGCCCUUGGCAAGGAAGCCACUGUCCUUGAGCACAUAGACAGGGCUCCUUCAUCUCCUGCGACAGGGACAGCCCUUGGCAAGGAUGUCACUUCCUUGGGCACACAGACAGGGCUCCUUCAGCAGACAGCAGAUAGAUAUGCAAUGCAAGCCUUGGUUUUUUGGGAUGAUUCCAAUGCAGCACCAGAUACGUGUGUCCAAUUCUGGGGUUUGCUCAUAGGAAACCCAUGUGCCAGCAAAUCUAUGUCACAUUCUCCAGUAUCACCUUUAUAAGGAAUAAAGUCAAUUUACUGUUCUUCUGUAAAAAGAAAGAAACGUAUUCAUGACUGUAGCUUGGCUGUCACUCAAGUGCAAGUGAAUGGUGGAUGUGGCCGCGCGGCUCCACGCACUGAUUCAUAAUCCCCAAAAGGGACAAGGGCAGACCCAGCUCUCUGCAGGGCAAACGCUCCACAACCCAAAACACUUGUUUCUGUUGUUGUUGCUGUUUGGAAACUCCCUCUUCUAUUUCCCACCUCCCUCUUUCCCGUUCUCAUUCCCUUUUCUCUGCUCCUAUUUCUGUUUCCCUCAGUUCCACCUAAUACCCCGUGGUGUCACCCUAGCCCUUUCCUCUACCCACUCCAGCCUUACUACCCCCAACGUCCCACACCCUGGGAAACACCAAGGUCUGCCUCUGUACCUCCAAGUUCUUUCCCCGUUAUUGCCCUGGGUCAGUCCUUUGUGGGGGCUCCUCUCUCCUCUCUUGAUUUCUUUUCAUCUGGCUAACCUCUAAUCCUGUAAGAUUUACCUCAAAUAUCUUUCAAGAAGUAUUUUCUGAAUCCAAGGAGGACCUAAAAGCCAUUCUGCUGGCCUCCCAGAGCUGAAUCUGCCCAUCUCCCCCGGAUUAUAUUAAAAUUAUAAGUCAUGUAAAAUCCUUUUGGAACGAGACAGGGUAUGAUAAAUAAGAAAUAUUCAACAAGUAUACGUUACUUGUGUACACAUACCACCUGACUUCUUUAACAACACAUUGCAAGAAAUAAAAAGAUGGAGACAUACGGCUGGGCGCAGUGGCUAAUGCCUGUAAUCCCAGCACUUUGGGAGGCCAAGGCAGGUGGAUCACUGAGGUCAGGAGUUCGACACCAGCCUGGCCAACAUGGUGAAACCCCCAUCUCUACUAAAAAUACAAAAAUUAGCCAAGUGUGGUGGCAGGCACCUGUAAUCCCAGCUACUCGGAAGGCUGAGGCAGGAGAAUCUCUUGAACCCGGAAUGCGGAGCUUGCAGUCAAGCAAGAUUAUGCCACUGCACUCCAGCCUGGGUGACACAGCAAGACUCCAUCUCAAAAAAAAAAAAAAAAAGAAAAAGAAAAAGAAAAAACACCAUGCAUGCAUACUCAUAUGAAUGUACAAAUGGAUGAGUCUAGAACAAAAGAUACUAGCCUGAUACAUAUACAAACUAUGCAGCUGCAGUCCCUGCCUCUUCCGCAACCCUGACCUCUAAGAAAGCUCUAACUCUGAAUCCUGUCAGCACCUGGGCUGUGCUGCUUGGGACAACAUUGUCUUCACAAGUCCUCUCCACAUUCUCAGAGGUGGGGGUAUUGCCAAUGAUGGGGGUUACUGCCUGAGUCCCGUCACCAGGGGACAAAGCUACAGCAGACACCACCAUCUGCCAACAAAAAGAGAGAUCAUCUCCCACCCCUGGUUCUGCUGACGCAAUCACUGGAAGCAUCGAGGCACCACUAUGUCCUCACCUGCCUCGGAUUCAAUUUCCUCCUAGCCAGGUCUGUUCUAAGGUCUCCAGAAGUUGAGAAAUUAAUUGAAAGAUAACACUUUCCUCCCUGUGUUAAGGUUUAUCACAUAAUGUAUCCAAAUACUGGGCCAGUCUUUCCUUUGGUCUCAUUUCUAUGAGCUAAUCUGAAAAUGCCUUUUCUGUUUUCCUUAGAAUUUUUCUAAAUGUUUCUGGGCGCUUGUGUUCCUGAGGCUUUCCACAGUGCACCCUCUUGUUCAUCUGAUGUCUUUGGCACAUAUAGGCCCUCGACAGGUAGUUGUUCAAUGAACAGAUGACCAUCCUGUCCUUUGUGUGAACAAGCAUAGCAAGUGCACAUUGUAUCUGUUUGUGUAUCCAACAGCGUCCCUCCAAAGCCACUUUGUUCACUUAUUUUCUCAGGAUCACGGACGGCUGCAUCUUGACAUAAGCACACAGAAUCUUUCCUUUUCCAGUCACUUUUCCUUUUUCCAGAUUCCGGCCAUAGAAUUCCAGGCACAGAGCCAACCAUGCCUGGCACCCCCUCCUGUCUUGGGACAAGGAUACUUUCUCCUGUGGCUCCCAUCUUGCUUCCAACAUUCUUCUGCCAGAAUUCAGUUUGGCGGACAAUGACCUACUACUUUUAAUUUUUUUCCCCUUUUUGCUCUUCUACCAAAUACCGCUUUUCACCCAGGCUUUUCACUGCGUAGUGGACAAUCUAUCAAACAGGUGCUGUCCAGCGUGAGGGGCAGUUGCAAAGGUCUGCAUCGGUGCUGGCUGAUGGAACUUUCCGGUGAUGGCAUCAUUCCGUAGCUGCACUGUCCAGUGAGGAGGCUACUUGCCACUGUGGCUACUGCUUGGGAUGGUGCAGGUCUGAAUAUCUUACUCACAGCUCACCUUUUUGGUGCCUUUGAUCCGUAUUAGGAAUUAUCCACAUCUUCUCUCUGGGCAAUAUUCUACUUUUUAUAUUGACCCAAUUAUUUUACUUCUUUGGUGUGUCCUUUCUCCUAACACAUAUGGGUUCACUUUGAAACCCUGAAACCCACAUUUACAAAAACAUUUUCAAUAUGAAACAUUGUUCCAUGACUCAUUACUGGAGUACCAUCAACAUUUACAUUUCCAGACCACCCACUGCCCAGUGGUUUUCUUGGUCUCAGUACUCAUGAAAACGGUCUGAAGGUUUGUUUUGGGUUCCUAAGUAGUAGACACACGCACAACACUGCCUGUCAGUUAUUUCUUGGAAACUAAAUCAGCCCUUCUGUUGCCAUCCUAUCAUGCUUCAGGGGUGCCUGUGCUAGUUUUUAAUUCUUUGUCCUAACACUUAAAUGUUUGCUCAAACGCCCAUAUUAAUACUUCCUCUUAGUUUACAAAAGGAUUUACUUUCUUACUGGUUGGGAUGAAGCUGCCUGAGGUUGCCACCUGUUAUUUUUCCUUCAUUUAUUGGACCAUGUCAUCCCAUUACAUGUUAGCCGUGGAGGUUUUCAAACUGUGUUCCCUGGACAUGUUAGAAAUGCAAAUUCUCAGACCGAACCAGGACUGAAUCGGAAGAUCUGGGGUAGGGUCCCUCCAGGACUGAAAACGGAAGGUCUGGGGUGGGGUACCCCAGGACUGAAUCGGAAGGUCUGGGGUGGGGUCCCCCCAGGACUGAAUCGGAAGGUCUGGGGUAGCGUCCCUCCAGCUGAUCCUGUUACACAGGUUAGAGAACCAUGGCAUUAGGGGUAGCAAUUUGACAAUUCUUUUUUUUUUUUUUUGAGACAGAGUCUCACUCUUGUUGCCCAGGCUGGAGUGCAGUGGCGCACUCUCGGCUCACUGCAACCUCCGUCUCCCAGGUUCAAGCAACUCUCCUGCCUCAGCCUCCUGAGUAGCUGGGAUUACAGGCACCCAUCAUCAUGCCUGGCUAAUUUUUUGUAUUUUUAGAGAUGGGGUUUCACUAUGUUGGCCAGGCUGGGACAAUUCUUAAACUGUCAUUCUUUACUCACUUACUUGCAGGAAUUCUUAUGUAAAGAACUUUCCCUAAUCAACAAGGUUUCCCUGAAUUGCAAUUUGUAGAGAAAAGACAGGAUAAUUACUGAUCUUCCUUCAAGUGUCCAUUCCCAGUGUUAGGAGUUAGUGCCCUAGGUACCUCCAAGAGUGACCAAUUACAUGUGUUUGUUUGGUUUUGGCUUUGAAACCACCACUAUGAAUUCAUGGUUUUCAUGUAUUAGAGACCACUUUCUAGGUGCUUGAUGUGUCUACUGCUACUGGGGCAGAGGUAGAAAAUGUGUCUACGGUAAAAGAACAACAAAUGAGUUCACGCUUAUAUUUCUAUUUCAAAUUUAGUAUACGGUUUUACACCUUUUUCUCAGAAAAAUCUUGUUUUAUUUUUUGAGAUAGAGUUUUGUUCCUGUUGCCCAGGCUGGAGUGCAGUGGCACAAUCUCGGCUCACUGCAAUCUCUGCCUCCUGUUUCAAGCGAUUCUCCUGCUUCAGCCUCCCCAAUAGCUGGGAUUACAGGCACCUGCCACCAUGCCCAGCUAAUUUUUCAAUUUUAGUAGAGAUGGCGUUUCACCAUGUUGGCCAGGCUGGUCUCAAACUCCUGACCUCAGGUCAUCUGCCCACCUCGGCCUCCCAAAGUGCUGGGACUUGGGAGGAUUUUCCCUUGCCAGAAAAAUCUUAGUUUUAGCAUUAACAUAAUUAGUUAUUUGCUUUAACUCCCACCCCACAUAAUUUCAAAGGAUUAAUACCUAUAAGACGAGUAACGGAGAUGAUUGAUUGAAAUUUAGGAUUCAGUGGCUCUAUUUGUCUUUAGACUAUGGCUCACUAAAUCUGCACACUUGAAGUGCUGUGUUCUAGCGAUCCUCUGAUGACACAUGAAGUAAUAGGCUGCGUGACUGUCACCAGCCUGAUGUGCAGUUGGGCUGCAGAACCCCGUGAUGCUGCCUAGCCCAGCCAGCCCCAGGUCACUCCUCAGACUCAAACUCGAUUCUGACACCACCAGCACCCGGGACGCUGCCUAGGGGCUUUCUCUGGUGGCAGCAGCAUGUCCUGGAGCAGGCCAGGGGUGCCCGGAAUUGACCAUCCUGAACCUGUGCAGCGUGGGCUGGUGAAGGAACGCACCAGCUCCCACAGUGAACACGGGCCCAGCUGUCCACAUGAGACCCGGCUCCCGGACGCCCCAUGCUGCCGCCUCUUUCCUGUCUCACCUCCCACUUCCCUUCAGCUGCUGCUCAGGGCCACCUUCCAAAUUUUUGUCUCAGGGUUGGCGCCUGUAGAAUGCAAUCCAAGGAAUUUAGAUUCAUUCAUUUCAGAUACCAUUCUUUCAAUUUUAGGGACUAUCUUAAAAACUUAGUUUGGUAAUAUGUAAAACACU
This 6583-nucleotide long non-coding RNA is filed under the name Homo sapiens (human). RNAcentral describes it as "HSALNT0317515". The record is from RNAcentral. Lineage: Eukaryota; Metazoa; Chordata; Mammalia; Primates; Hominidae.